This is a long non-coding RNA of Pseudophryne corroboree (corroboree frog), 727 nucleotides long. RefSeq lists it as uncharacterized. NCBI's taxonomy places the organism in Eukaryota, Metazoa, Chordata, Amphibia, Anura, Myobatrachidae. The transcript is spliced from 3 exons. The record is from RefSeq and is a predicted model, not a curated record.
UCUCAGACAUCAAAGCAGCCACACGUAGUAUAUACUGCCUAAGAGGAGCUGCGUGCUGCCAAUGCAGCUCCCCUACAGGCAUUCAAACAAAUAAUAAUCAGUGAGUAGCGCUGAUGGAUCAGCACCCAGGGGGAGUUUCUAGCCACUAGGCCUCAUCUCACUGUUGAGAAAGAAGUUAAUAGAGGCGCUCAUAGCAACCAGCACUUCAUACAGAACGUAGCCGGCGUGUGAGCUCCAUGCGGCAAUUGCAGCCAGAUACAUCAUCCUCUCCUACGCUGACCACGUCCAGGGAGUCUCGGAAGAGGUGCAUACACAGCCGGAUUUGUGUGGCGGCUUUCAUUCAUUCAGCCGCAUAUUUGUUCUCUCCACAAACCCUUGCAGCACUAAUUGGGUGAAGCACCCCCAGGGGUAUUGAGUUCACAACAGUGUGGUUUCGAACAUACACACACCAACGCAACGAACCCUCCAGCUCUAUACAAUAUUGGGCCAGCUCUGGACUCACCCGGGGACGCUCGGGUGCAUCAGCCCAAAGGGAGAGGUGCUACCCCAAUGUUUCAGGUCUAAGACCAAUAGUUUCAAACAUAAAAAGAGAAGAACAAGAGAAACAUCUUUCAGCGUGCACACUGGUAUCUUAAUAAUGUUUUAAAAAAAGUUUUAGUGAUAUGCAUUAAAAAAAUUCAGAAAAAAAUUGUGAAAUAUUAAAAAAUAGUGUAUUAGAAAGACAGAA